CUUCAAGAUAUACCUUUCCUGUUCUAAAUAUAAUAAUGAAAUUUACUUAAGUGAGUUUGUGUCCAUGUGUAGGGGAGAUAAUCAACACUAAUUAUCUCCCCUGUCCCAAGUACUAUUGUAUAGACAAAAAGCAAAAUAGUAAAUUCUAAUAAUAUUAAAAAAAUCAUACAAGUGAUAAAAUAAUGAAUUAUUUUACGGAUAGCAGUAUUACAUUCUAUCUGAGCACACACA
This 231-nucleotide long non-coding RNA is filed under the name Mytilus galloprovincialis (Mediterranean mussel). Lineage: Eukaryota; Metazoa; Mollusca; Bivalvia; Mytilida; Mytilidae. The record is from RNAcentral.